This 253-nucleotide ribosomal RNA is filed under the name uncultured bacterium. Its description in RNAcentral is "partial 16S ribosomal RNA". It matches the Rfam family "Bacterial small subunit ribosomal RNA", at positions 524 to 776 of the family's 1533-position model. The record is from RNAcentral.
UACGUAGGGUGCAAGCGUUGUCCGGAAUUAUUGGGCGUAAAGAGCUCGUAGGCGGUCUGUCGCGUCGGCUGUGAAAUCCCGAGGCUCAACCUCGGGUCUGCAGUCGAUACGGGCAAACUAGAGUAUUGCAGGGGAGACUGGAAUUCCUGGUGUAGCGGUGAAAUGCGCAGAGUAUCAGGAGGAACACCGGUGGCGAAGGCGGGUCUCUGGGCAAUAACUGACGCUGAGGAGCGAAAGCGUGGGAGCGAACAGG